UAAUACAAGAACUUUAGUUGUCAUAUACUUUAAAGCAGCAACAAGAUGAGGAUCAGUAUUGUAUUUAUCUCUUUUUGUAUUGUUCUUUGCAAGGGUUUCUUGUUUGAUUCCUGCACAACAGAUGCUGACUGUAAAAAUGGAUGUUGUGUAUCAGCUACUUUUGGUCAUCACUGUAAUCAUCAUUUUUUAGCUCUCCAUGCGGCGUGUCAUCUUAGUAACAAAGAAUACUCAACAUGUGGUUGUGGACAAGGUUUAGUUUGCAAAGAUCAUAUCGAGGGGUCUCAAAUUGCUGUUGAAACCCGGCCAGGUUAUGGAUAUUGUGAGACUGGAAACAAAACAAUUUCCUCAGGAGGGGCUAUAGCAACAGAAGGAUGAGCAUAACGUGCAUUAAACUUAUAAAUUUCAAAGUAA
Molecule: long non-coding RNA, 411 nt
Organism: Mytilus californianus (California mussel)
Lineage: Eukaryota; Metazoa; Mollusca; Bivalvia; Mytilida; Mytilidae
Exons: 3
Source: RefSeq, a predicted model, not a curated record